GGCUCCCGGUAGGGCGCCUCAGCGUCCCCCGGGGCCCCGACGGAGGUGCCGGAGAUCUGCCGGCUACAGACCCGGGCAGGUGGGGCUCGUUAGCCGUGGUAGGCAGUCUGCCUAGGAGAGCAAACUCCGAACAACAAACCCGGACAGGUGGAGGUCGUUAGCCGUGGUAGGCAAUACACCUAGGAGAGCAAACUCCGAACAACAAACCCGGACAGGUGGAGGUCGUUAGCCGUGGUAGGCAAUCUGCCUAGGAGAGCAAACUCCGAACAAUAAACCCGGACAGGUGGAGGUCGUUAGCCGUGGUAGGCAAUCUACCUAGGAGAGCAAACUCCGAACAACAAACCCGGACAGGUGGAGGUCGUUAGCCGUGGUAGGCAAUCUGCCUAGGAGAGCAAACUCCGAACAACAAACCCGGACAGGUGGAGGUCGUUAGCCGUGGUAGGCAAUCUACCUAGGAGAGCAAACUCCGAACAACAAACCCGGACAGGUGGAGGUCGUUAGCCGUGGUAGGCAAUCUACCUAGGAGAGCAAACUCCGAACAACAAACCCGGACAGGUGGAGGUCGUUAGCCGUGGUAGGCAGUCUGCCUAGGAGAGCAAACUCCGAACAAUAAACCCGGACAGGUGGAGGUCGUUAGCCGUGGUAGGCAAUCUGCCUAGGAGAGCAAACUCCGAACAACAAACCCGGGCAGGUGGAGGUCGUUAGCCGUGGAAGGCAGUCUACCUAGGAGAGCAAACUCCGAACAACAAACCCGGACAGGUGGAGGUCGUUAGCCGUGGAAGGCAGUCCACCUAGGAGAGCAAACUCCGAACAACAAACCCGGACAGGUGGAGGUCGUUAGCCGUGGAAGGCAGUCCACCUAGGAGAGCAAACUCCGAACAACAAACCCGGACAGGUGGAGGUCGUUAGCCGUGGAAGGCAGUCUGCCUAGGAGAGCAAACUCCGAACAACAAACCCGGACAGGUGGAGGUCGUUAGCCGUGGAAGGCAGUCUACCUAGGAGAGCAAACUCCGAACAACAAACCCGGACAGGUGGAGGUCGUUAGCCGUGGAAGGCAGUCUGCCUAGGAGAGCAAACUCCGAACAACAAACCCGGACAGGUGGAGGUCGUUAGCCGUGGAAGGCAGUCUGCCUAGGAGAGCAAACUCCGAACAACAAACCCGGACAGGUGGAGGUCGUUAGCCGUGGAAGGCAGUCUGCCUAGGAGAGCAAACUCCGAACAACAAACCCGGACAGGUGGAGGUCGUUAGCCGUGGAAGGCAGUCUGCCUAGGAGAGCAAACUCCGAACAACAAACCGGGUCUUGUGGUGCUCGUUAGAUGUCGUAGACAAUCCACGUGAUGGGAACACCAAAGAAAAGAAAAGAAAAAAGAACACCAGAAAAAGAUAAUUAUAAAAACGAACAUCAAGAGAAGAAAAAACACAGAACAUCCACCUUUAGGCCCUAACAUCGCCAAAAUUAAGGGUGAGUCUUUUCUGGGGAGAAAGAGGCUCAUCCAGACCAAAGAACAUCAAAAAGGGAUGAUAUACAUAGAA
Eriocheir sinensis (Chinese mitten crab) is the source of this 1534-nucleotide long non-coding RNA. RefSeq lists it as uncharacterized. The transcript is spliced from 4 exons. The record is from RefSeq and is a predicted model, not a curated record. NCBI's taxonomy places the organism in Eukaryota, Metazoa, Arthropoda, Malacostraca, Decapoda, Varunidae.